This 497-nucleotide ribosomal RNA is filed under the name uncultured bacterium. RNAcentral's name for it is "partial 16S ribosomal RNA". It matches the Rfam family "Bacterial small subunit ribosomal RNA", at positions 28 to 507 of the family's 1533-position model. The record is from RNAcentral.
GAUGAACGCUGGCGGCGUGCCUAAUACAUGCAAGUCGAGCGAACGGACGAGAAGCUUGCUUCUCUGAUGUUAGCGGCGGACGGGUGAGUAACACGUGGAUAACCUACCUAUAAGACUGGGAUAACUUCGGGAAACCGGCGCUAAUACCGGAUAAUCUUUUGAACCGCAUGGUUCAAAAGUGAAAGACGGUCUUGCUGUCACUUAUAGAUGGAUCUGCGCUGCAUUAGCUAGUUGGUAAGGUAACGGCUUACCAAGGCAACGAUGCAUAGCCGACCUGAGAGGGUGAUAGGCCACACGGGAACGGAGACACGGUCCAGACUCCUACGGGAGGCAGCAGUAGGGAAUGUUCCGCAGAGGGCGAAAGCCUGACGGAGCAACGCCGCGUGAGUGAUGAAGGUGUUCGGAUCGUAAAACUCUGUUAUUAGGGAAGAACAUAUGUGUAAGUAACUGUGCACAUCUUGACGGUACCUAAUCAGAAAGCCACGGCUAACUACGUG